CCUACGGGUGGCAGCAGUGGGGAAUAUUGGACAAUGGGCGCAAGCCUGACCCAGCAACGCCGCGUGAGGGAAGAAGUCUUUCGGUAUGUAAACUUCUUUUCUGAGGGACGAAAGAAGUGACGGUACCUCAGGAAUAAGCCACGGCUAACUACGUGCCAGCAGCCGCGGUAAUACGUAGGUGGCAAGCGUUAUCCGGAUUUACUGGGUGUAAAGGGAGGGUAGGCGGGAAAGCAAGUCAGAUGUGAACAGUCAGGGCUCAACCCUGAGACUGCUGUGGAAACUGUUUGGCUUGAGUGCUGGAGAGGCAAUCGGAAUUCCGAGUGUAGCGGUGAAAUGCGUAGAUAUACGGAGGAACACCAGUGGCGAAGGCGGAUUGCUGGACAGUAACUGACGCUGAGGCGCGAAAGCGUGGGGAGCAAACAGGAUUAGAUACCCCUGUAGUC
Molecule: ribosomal RNA, 443 nt
Filed under: uncultured bacterium
Lineage: Bacteria
Description: partial 16S ribosomal RNA
Rfam family: Bacterial small subunit ribosomal RNA
Source: RNAcentral